UCCUUCUCCUCGCGCAGCAGCUUGUGGAUCUGGUUGGCCUUGAUGCGCUCCGACAUCAGCUUGAAGUUGGCGUCGUCCUUCUCGCGCAGCUGCUGCAGCAGCCGCAGGUUCUGCUCCUGCAUGUCCUCGAAGGCCUGCCCCGUCACGUCCAUCUCCGACAGCAGCGCCUCCUCCUCCUGCCAACGGGGACGGGGCGGGCGUCGGGACAAGGCGGCAAGAUGGCCGCCGGGACAAGAUGGCCGCCGGGGCAAGAUGGCCGCCAUGGCAAGAUGGCUACCAGACAAGAUGGAUGCCAGAACAAGAUGGCUGCCGGGACAAGAUGGCCACCAUGGCAAGAUGGCCAUCAGGACAAGAUGGCUACCGGGACAAGAUGGCUGCCAGGACAAGAUGGCUGCCAGGGCAAGAUGGCCGCUGGGACAAGAUGGCCACCGGGAAAAGAUGGCUGCCAGGACAAGAUGGCUGCCAGGACAAGAUGACCACCAGGACAAGAUGGCUGCCAGAACAAGAUGGCUGCCAGGACAAGAUGGCCGCUGGGACAAGAUGUCCACCGGAAAAAAAAAGAUGGCUGCCAGGACAAG
This 578-nucleotide long non-coding RNA is filed under the name Numida meleagris (helmeted guineafowl). Its description in RNAcentral is "lncRNA (ENSNMEG00000002938.1)". Lineage: Eukaryota; Metazoa; Chordata; Aves; Galliformes; Numididae. The record is from RNAcentral.